UACAGAGGUCUCAAGCGUUGUUCGGAUUCAUUGGGCGUAAAGGGUGCGUAGGUGGCGCCGUAAGUCAGGUGUGAAAUCUCGGGGCUCAACCCCGAAACUGCACUUGAUACUGCGGUGCUCGAGUACUGGAGAGGAGAUUGGAAUUUACGGUGUAGCAGUGAAAUGCGUAGAUAUCGUAAGGAAGACCAGUGGCGAAGGCGGCAUCCUGGACCGGUAUUGACACUGAGGCGCGAAAGCCAGGGGAGCAAACGGG
This 253-nucleotide ribosomal RNA is filed under the name uncultured bacterium. RNAcentral's name for it is "partial 16S ribosomal RNA". It matches the Rfam family "Bacterial small subunit ribosomal RNA", at positions 524 to 776 of the family's 1533-position model. The record is from RNAcentral.